RNAcentral lists this ribosomal RNA (440 nucleotides) under uncultured bacterium. Its description in RNAcentral is "partial 16S ribosomal RNA". It matches the Rfam family "Bacterial small subunit ribosomal RNA", at positions 339 to 795 of the family's 1533-position model. The record is from RNAcentral.
CUACGGGUCGCUCCAGUGAGGAAUAUUGCACAAUGGGGGGAACCCUGAUGCAGCAACGCCGCGUAGAGGAUGACGCAUUUCGGUGUGUAAACUCCUUUUAUAUGUCAAGAAAAUGACGGUAGCAUAUGAAUAAGCACCGGCUAACUCCGUGCCAGCAGCCGCGGUAAUAGCGGAGGGUGCAAGCGUUACUCGGAAUCACUGGGCGUAAAGGACGCGUAGGCGGGUUGGAAAGUCAGGUGUGAAAUCCUACAGCUUAACUGUAGAACUGCACUUGAAACUUCUAAUCUAGAGUAUGGGAGGGGGAGAUGGAAUUAGUGGUGUAGGGGUAAAAUCCGUAGAUAUCACUAGGAAUACCUAAAGCGAAGGCGAUCUCCUGGAACAUUACUGACGCUAAGGCGUGAAAGCGUGGGGAGCAAACAGGAUUAGAUACCCUAGUAGUC